GACGAACGCUGGCGGCGUGCCUAAUACAUGCAAGUUGAGCGCUGAAGGUUGGUACUUGUACCAACUGGAUGAGCAGCGAACGGGUGAGUAACGCGUGGGGAAUCUGCCUUUGAGCGGGGGACAACAUUUGGAAACGAAUGCUAAUACCGCAUAAAAACUUUAAACACAAGUUUUAAGUUUGAAAGAUGCAAUUGCAUCACUCAAAGAUGAUCCCGCGUUGUAUUAGCUAGUUGGUGAGGUAAAGGCUCACCAAGGCGAUGAUACAUAGCCGACCUGAGAGGGUGAUCGGCCACAUUGGGACUGAGACACGGCCCAAACUCCUACGGGAGGCAGCAGUAGGGAAUUUUCGGCAAUGGACGAAAGUCUGACCGAGCAACGCCGCGUGAGUGAAGAAGGUUGUCGGAUCGUAAAACUCUGUUGGUAGAGAAGAACGUUGGUGAGAGUGGAAAGCUCAUCAAGUGACGGUAACUACCCAGAAAGGGACGGCUAACUACGUG
RNAcentral lists this ribosomal RNA (497 nucleotides) under uncultured bacterium. RNAcentral's name for it is "partial 16S ribosomal RNA". It matches the Rfam family "Bacterial small subunit ribosomal RNA", at positions 28 to 507 of the family's 1533-position model. The record is from RNAcentral.